RNAcentral lists this ribosomal RNA (512 nucleotides) under Termitomyces aurantiacus. Its description in RNAcentral is "eukaryotic LSU rRNA". It matches the Rfam family "Eukaryotic large subunit ribosomal RNA", at positions 72 to 583 of the family's 3401-position model. Lineage: Eukaryota; Fungi; Basidiomycota; Agaricomycetes; Agaricales; Lyophyllaceae. The record is from RNAcentral.
GGAUUCCCCUAGUAACUGCGAGUGAAGCGGGAAAAGCUCAAAUUUAAAAUCUGGUAGUCUUUGGCUGCCCGAGUUGUAAUCUAGAGAAGCAUUAUCCGCGCUGGACCGUGUACAAGUGUCCUGGAAUGGACUAUCAUAGAGGGUGAGAAUCCCGUCUUUGACACGGACUCCCAGGGCUUUGUGAUGUGCUCUCAAAGAGUCGAGUUGUUUGGGAAUGCAGCUCUAAAUGGGUGGUAAAUUCCAUCUAAAGCUAAAUAUUGGCGAGAGACCGAUAGCGAACAAGUACCGUGAGGGAAAGAUGAAAAGAACUUUGGAAAGAGAGUUAAACAGUACGUGAAAUUGCUGAAAGGGAAACGCUUGAAGUCAGUCGCGUCGGCUGGGGAUCAACCUUGCUUCUUGCUUGGCUUACUUCCCAGUUGACGGGUCAGCAUCAGUUUUGACCAGUGGAUAAAGGUYAAGGGAAUGUGGCACCUCCGGGUGUGUUAUAGCCCUUGGUCAUAUACAUUGGUUGG